CACCACUGUCCUCUGGAGGGGGGCACUCAAAGAAGGACCUCAGAUGACAAUCUCAGAGUCCGGGUCAGUUCAUAUGGGGAGAGAUAGAGCCCUUGAGGUACUGAGGCCCUGAGCUAUUUAAGGCUUUAUAGGUCAAAACCAGCACUUUGAAUUGGAAACAGUUCGCAAGCAGUUCACAGAGAGCAACAGGCCUGUGGCAUAGUAUUGUCUGAGCACUUCCACGCAUGGCCCGCCAGGCUCCAAAUACAGGGAGGGCGGCACCAGGAAACGGGAAGCAAUUAAGGCCUUCCCCCCCUCUAGGUGACCCUCAACUCCAUUUAUAGACCAACACAGUGCCUGAGAUGGGCAAGAGUGGAGGGCUGGUAACUGUCCCACUUAAACAUUUCAUUUCAUUAUGCAGUCAUGUGUUUUGUUGUGUUUAAGACACUUAUUGGCAACCAUCCUGGGAUUACCCUGUAAUGAAGGCUGGUCUAUAAAUAAAUUGGGUUAAUAAUUUAGUUAUUAAAGUGGGUUUAUGAUGAAUAAAUAAUACUUCGGAUUCUCCUUUAGGUGUUACAGGAAGCUCUGCUGGCAGAAUGAAAGAACGGUGCCCCAUUCAGCUGACAGCACUCCUGCAAUAAUGUCCAAAGCUGUUCUUUUCUAGUUUAAUACAGCCGUGCUGACUGGCGUCUACUUAUCACAGGAGUGGGGAACUGCAUCCAUUCAGCAGCCUGGAUCUUUAUCUCUCCCACCCUGCAACAUAUCAAGUGUGAGAGGUGAGUGGGUGGGUCAUUGUCCUGUCAAUCACCUGAUGUCACAAUGAUGUCAGGUGACCCUUUCCCCCUUUGUCAAACCGGAUCGGCAGUUCCUGCAAAACUCACUUACGGCUGAGCUUCAUCCUUACCUACCCCACACUGCAUGUAUGGGGCAAAACCACCUGUGUUUCAUUUAGAUAGUGCAGUCAGAUAUUUUUCUUAGCGGGAUAUAACCUGUUCACAUCUGAAGUUCUUUUUGAGAAGUAUCAUUUCUCAUUUUAAAAGGUAAAGGGACCCCUGACCAUUAGGUCCAGUCAUGGCCGACUCUGGGGUUGCGGUGCUCAUCUCACUUUAUUGGCCGAGGGAGCCGGCGUACAGCUUCCGGGUCAUGGGGCCAGCAUGACUAAGCCACUUCUGGCGAACCAGAACAGCGCACAGAAACGCCGUUUACCUUCCCGCCAGAGCGGUACCUAUUUAUCUACUUGCACUUUGACGUGCUUUCGAACUGCUAGGUUGGCAGGAGCAGGGACUGAGCAAUGGGAGUUCACCCCGUCGUGGGGAUUUGAACCGCUGACCUUCUGAUCGGCAAGUCCUAGGCUCUGUGGUUUAACCCACAGCGCCACCCACGUCCCUAUUUCUCAUUUAAGAAGCUUAAUUUUCCAUGCUUCCUAGCAGUUCAAAAGCAUGCCAGUGCAAGUAGAUAAAUAGGUACCGCUGUGGCGGGAAGGUAAAUGGCAUUUCCAUGUGCUCUGGCUUCUGUCACAGUAUCCUAUUAUGCCAGAAGGGUUUAGUCAUGCUGGCCACACAACACAUACAAACGCCGGCUCCCUCAGCCUGAAAGCCGAGAUGAGCACCACAACCCCAUAGUCGCCUUUGACUGGACCUAACUAUCCAGGGGUCCUUUACCCCCUUCUUACCUUUUUAAGAUGCUCGCAACAGUCAUAGAAACACUUCCCUGAGGGAGAACGAGGUGAUACUGUGCUCACCCCAAAUGUAUCCCAACUAAAACAACAACAACUAUGUAUGAAUCAGCUGAAGGUUUGGCAUCCAUUGAGCAGGAAGGUAAAAGCUCCUUUGUAGAGCACUUGCUUUUCAUGCAGAAGGUGCCAAGUUCAAUGCCCCUUACCUGAAACUACCAAUCCAUGUUGAGAAUAUGGAACUAGAUGGACCCGUGAUGUGACCCAUUAUGAGGCAGCUCAGUAUAAGGACAGGCUGCAAUAUGGAUACUUUCAACCUGGAGAAUCCAGCUGUUUUCUUCUUGAACUGCUUCCCGCCCCCUCCCCCAAUACAAAACUAGAAUCUACCUUCAUCUGGUGUCUUUUCAGAUUCCUUUCCUUCUCCAUCAAUUUGAAAUAACGAGGCGUCUCUCCGGAAACUUAAAUGCUAAGGAAAGGCUGCCUGUCGCCACCGGGGAAGAGCAGAUAUUGUCGCGUUAUCCAUUCCCGCAGUGACAUCAGCCGCCUUCAUGUGUAGCCACAGAUGCUUGCACAGCUGCAACAGAUCUAAUGCAGACAUGGGCAAUGUGAUUGUUUAUCCCUCAUAGAAUGUGUACCGUAUAGACAAUGGAAAUACACGUGAGAAUCUAUCUGCUUUCCAUUCAGUUUCAUUAAAACUAUGGCAUAGGCAUUAACUGAUAUUAAUCUGUGCAAUUAACAGCACUACGAGCAGGAAGGGAAGUGGAAGAGAAAGGAGUUCCCCUCUCUCCCAAAUUAGCAUUUGGCCUCUCACAGAGGCUUCUGUUUAUUUAUUUAUAGAAGUAUUUGCACACUUUACAUAAAGGUAUUUACAUAUCAGAGUGGUGCGCGGCAACAGAAAAAACAUUAUUUAAUAAAAUAAACAUUAAAAGCAGGACAGAAUCAUGAAAACUACUGGCUACCAGGUCCGCCCUAAUGCCAGGAAGUUGCAGGAGUCAGGAGAACGUGAACGGCUGUGUUUAUGUCAACAGGACAGCAACUCAACCUAGCAGCUUGGACUUGCUACCAAAGCAAGACGAAGGGUUGAACUCAUUUCCCCUGAGCUAUACAGGUAUGUACACCCAGAAAUGGGAGAGGACUUUAAUAAUAAUAAUAAUAAUAAUAAUAAUAAUAAUAAUAAUAAUAAUAAUUUAUUUAUAUCCCACCCAUCUUGCUGGGUUUUCCCAGCCACUCUGGGUGGCUUCCAACAAAAGAUUAAAAAUACAGAUUAAAACAUCAGUCAUUAAAAACUUUGCUAAACAGGGCUGUCUUCUAAAAGUCUGGUAGUUGUUUUUCUCUUUGACAUCUGGUGGGAGGGCAUUCCACAGGGCGGGCGCCACUACCGAGAAGGCCCUCUGCCUGAUUCCCUGUAACUUUACUUCUCGCAGUGAGGGAACCUACAGAAGGCCCUUGGAGCUGAACCUCAGUGUCCAGGCUGAGUGAUGGGGGUGGAGACGCUCCUUCAGGUAUACUGGGCCGAGGCCGUUUAGGGCUUUAAAGGUCAGCACCAACACUUUGAAUUGUGCUUGGAAGCAUACUGGGAGCCAAUGUAGGUCUUUCAGGACCGGUGUUAUAUGGUCUUGGCAGCCAUUCCCAGUCACCAAUCUAGCUGCCACAUUCUGGAUUAGUUGUAGUUUCCGGGUCACAUUCAAAGGUAGCCCCAUGUAGAGCGCAUUGCAGUAGUCCAAGCGGGAGAUAACUACAGCAUACACCACUUUGGCAAGCAGGUAGGGUCUCAGUCUGCGUACCAGAUGGAGCUGUUAAACAGUUGCCCUGGACACAGAAUUGACCUAUGCCUCCAUGGACAGCUGUGAGUCCAAAAUGACUCCCAGGCUGCGCACCUGGUCCUUCAGGGGCACAGUUACCCUAUUCAGGACCAGGGAGUCCUCCACACCAGCCCGCCCCCUGUCCCCCAAGAACAGUACUUCUGUCUUGUCAGGAUUCAACCUCAGUCCGUUAGCCGCCACCCAUCCUCCAACCAUAGCUGUCAACUUUUCCCUUUUCUUGCAAGGAAUCCUAUUUGGAAUAAGAGAAUUUCCCUUUAAAAAAGGGAAAUGUUGACAGCUAUGCCUCCAACCGCCUCCAGACACUCACACAAGCACUUUGAAUUACAGAGCAGACAUGUCGCUUAAGAGACAGGCCAUUCGCACUACAUCCAUGAGGAGGGGAGUCUCCCUGCUGCAAAGGCCGUCCACUUUUCAACUUACGGGACACUGAUGCGGUGCAGGGGGCCAGAGAGAGUGCCCCCCUGCUUUUCUUGUGAGAAUUAAGAGUCACGCGAGUAAAAUAAACGCCCAAAACAGAGCUUGCGAAGAAGCAGAGAUUGGUAGCAUUUUAAGCUGAGCUGGCAUUUGUCUCCUUACCACCACUGAGCGUUGCUAUCUGCUUGCUGAUCAGACAGAUGCACUCCUCCCAAUUGAUCAUUUUUAACAUUGGAUUUGGAACAACAAGUUGCCCUAUUUAGAGAGAGAGAGAGAGAGCACAAACAAACAAAGAAACAAAGAAACAAACAAAUAUACAUUAGACUGACCAGUUUGCAUUAGUGUGAGCGUAAGCAACUCCAAUGUGUUUCUAUUUAUCACCAUUUGCUGUAAUUGGACACCGUUCAUUUCCUUCAUCAGCUGAUUCCUUUCCAUUAUUUCUUCUCAAAGAGGACUGCAAUCAGCAUUAGUUAGUGGGAAUUUUGCUUGCCUGGAAGCUUUUGUAAAAGAGAUCGGGCGACGGGGACGGACGACCAUCAUUGGGUAUGCACACUAGAGAAGUUGUGUUUGCUUCCACUGUUAUAACCCUUUUGCCUUUUAAAAUGGUUCAUUAUCCUUAUUGAUACAAGGAGGGAGGGCCUACGUUUUGUACUGUAAAAAACCCUGAAGGCAUCUAAGUAUAGGAUUUCAAACAUCUGCUUCUGGAUCCCUAGAUACAUUCUCUCAUAUUGUGAUGGGAAAGGACUAAACCAUCACUCUUAUUAUCUGUCCUGCAGUGGGAUUUAAGGGCACCCAUCAAACCUACUAUGGGUUUUGGAAUGCUGUUUAUUUGCUACUUGUUUUGCAUUAUGGUUCCUGACAUCGAGAAGCAGGUUUUCAUCUGUAUUUGGAUACCCUCUGGACUUCAUGUGGAAUCAAAUACAAUGCUUAGCAUUUGGGCCAUUCUCACCCCUCAAAAUCAGAGAAAACACUACACACACACACACACACCUCAUCUAUAUGCAGGUCACACAAAUCUCAGCAUGUGCAUCUGUACAGUUACCUUCAGGGAGAGUGUCUCAAUCCAGCCCACAAGCCACAUAUAUACGAAGUGAGUGUACAAAGGAGGGGAAAUCAUGGCUGAGACUUGCUAUAUGGAUGGGGUGGAUAACCUCUGCCUAAAUCAUGGGUAGGCAAACUAAGGCCCGGGGCCUGGAUCCGGCCCAAUCGCCUUCUAAAUCCGGCCCGCGGACGGUCCGGGAAUCAGCGUGUUUUUACAUGAGUAGAAUGUGUCCUUUUAUUUAAAAUGCAUCUCUGGGUUAUUUGUGGGGCCUGCCUGGUGUUUUUACAUGAGUAGAAUGUGUGCUUUUAUUUCAAAUGCAUCUCUGGGUUAUUUGUGGGGCAUAGGAAUUCGUUCAUCUUUUUUUUCCAAAAUAUAGUCCGCCCCCCCCCCAAGGUCUGAAGGACAGUGGACCGGCCCCCUGCUGAAAAAGUUUGCUGACCCCUGGUAAAUUUACACCAGGGUGGGGGAGCCCAAAGGGAAAGAAGGAUAAGAGAGGGGGAACCAAAAUGGGUGGAGAGAUGAAAUAGUGGCAGGGAAUUAUUUUGUUUGAUCAAGAGUGAAAAUAUAAGAACACGAGUCCAACAGGGCUCAAGCACAAGAGCACUCUCCCCUCCCAUGGUUUUCUACAACUAGUGAUCUACCCCUCUCUCAGCAGCCCACCAGGUUUGGAGGAGGAAGGAGGGAGGGGGCAGGAGAGAAGGAGAAUGAGAAAGAGACAAAGGGGGGAAAUGGAAAGAGUAAGGAGUGGCCCAUCCACCUUCAUUCUGGCCCACUGCUGACUUGCAUCCUCCAACAGAUUACCCCUAAGGGAAUGUGGCUCUCAGCAGAAACUUUCCUCACCCUUGUGUUACAGGAUCCAUUAAAAUAACAACAGCAACACAAAACAAUUGCACUUGUUGUCUUCCCAGCCGGCACAAUGUCGCCCUCCAAGCAACACAAUGUGAUCUUCCCCAGGGGGGCUGUAAGAAAUAUUUCUAGGGCCUGAGACGUGGUUAGGCGUGACCUUCUUUUUAAAAUGGUCUUUCCUGACAUCUUCUCUUAUAUGUGCUUGUUUCAGAUCUGAGGAAUGAGCUGCAUUGAUCCUAGUUCUGGAGAUCAGUCAGAGUAGUAAACAACAAGGCUCGGUGAUUUAUGACCAGGCUGGCUGAUAGUACCUUAGAGAUGCCUAACCACCUUCAGCUUAAGAGCUGGCUUCAGAAAUGUGGAACUUAAACAUUUCAGGUAGCGUUCCUUCAAGCCACUCACAUCUGCAAAGUGAGAAAAGAUUUCAGGCAGAUCAAUAAGAAAGGACUCUGAUAGCUAACCAGCCACCCAGCUGGAGAUAAGGUCUGUACAGUGGUACCUCGGGUUAAGUACUUAAUUCGUUCCGAAGGUCUGUUCUUAACCUGAAACUGUUCUUAACCUGAAGCACCACUUUAGCUAAUGGGGCCUCCCACUGCCGCCGCGCCACCGGAGCACAAUUUCUGUUCUCAUCCUGAAGCAAAGUUCUUAACCUGAAGCACUAUUUCUGGGUUAGUGGAGUCUGUAACCUGAAGCGUAUGUAACCUGAGGUACCACUGUACUGCAUUGGCAAACGGGCAAACUUCUAGCAACAUGCAAUGGCUGCAAAGCCAAGGCAGUGGCAGUUUUGUUCUGUCUCUCUACAAAAAGGAUUCUCUGGACUGCAGGUCAAGGAAAUGUUUCCUCUAGCACUGAUCUGCAUAUGCAGUACAAUCAGUACUCUUGAAAUUAUCUCCCAAACAACAAAAGAGUCCCAAUUUGCAAAGCUUUCCAGGAGAAUAAAAUGUGUUGAAAUUCCAUUAGGUGAAUGGAAGAGGGAGUGGUUGGUAUACCACUCUGAGAAUUAUUGCUCUGGGUGUGGAAUUGGGGGAUCUCCUAACAACUCUUGCCACCCUGAAUAAACUGCAUCUCCCAGAAUUCUUGGGGGAAUGUCAGGACUGCUUAAAGUGGUAUAAUACUGCUUUAAAUGUAUGGUAUGGAUGAGGACUAAGAUAAAUAGGGCUGUGUCAUAUGCAUUUAACACACACACAUCCCGCCAAGAAUCCUGGGAACUAUGGCUUACCCCAUACAGAGCUACACUUAACAAACCACAGCUCCCAGAAUUAUUUAGGCAUAGAAUGUGCUUUCAAUGUAUGGUGUAUAUGCAGCCUAAGUCUGGGCUGUAAUUCAUCUGGGGUGAUCACAGGGCAGGGAAGAGCUUGUGAACAAAAGAUCAGCAAUCCAAAAGAUUUGCCCACCUGGAUCGCCUUGAUUUUGGCUUCCUUCCACUGCUUUCCCUCUAAAGCCUUUGGAAGGAAGGAGCUCUCCCGCCCUCCCAAUCUAGAGCCAAGGCUGCAAAAAGAGGCUGUUAGGUAAAUCUCCGCGCGUUCAUUAAACAAUAUUUGUGCCGAGCGCUUAAAUAUCCCAGCGACGCUCCUUUCCUUUCAAGUUCCCUAUUGAACGGCCAGUGAAAUCUGAAACGGGCUGAGCGUUAGGGCGCUGUAUUUCAAAUGUACAUUUUAAAUAAAUUAAUAAAUGGCUUCUUAUAAAUAAUGGAAUGUAAUUAAACUCUACAUUCUAUCAGGCAUUCAUACACUUAUAAAUAUUUAUACUGGAAUUUUCAGCGCGCACUUGAAAAGAGACUCGCGUUGAGAUGAGCAACUUCAACAGCCUCCGAAAUAUCUCCCUGGGCCAUGCUGCCGACGGAGCUCUUCCGUGCAAACAUCGAUGAUGAUAACAUAUAUGUUCAAGUGCAGGAAGGCCUUCAGACCGUGGAGACCAUGGAUGGUGGGCGUUACCCUUCCAGCCUUGAAUCGUAAGUCUCUUUGCAUGCUUUUCCUGUCCAACAGUUAGUCCCCACACCACAGGAAUAUAAGUGCAUGAGCAUCCAGAAAUAUGAAGGAUUUUUCCAAAGCAAAGUUAAUACAGAUGUUUUCUGACCAAAAAGGAAGACUCCACAGGAUGCUGCCUGAGUGCUGGAAGGAAGACCUGGCUCCCUGCUAUAAGGCCAAUUCCCACCUGGCCCUGAACUCACCCUGAACAGCUAAAAGAGGCUCCUGGGAGGCCAGAGGAACAGGGCUGGAGCAACUCUUGGGCUGGGGCAACUGGCUAAAAUGUUUUGAAACGUUUUAAAUGGUUCUAAUUUUGGCUCGUCUGUUUCAUUUUUGUCUGGUUGGUGUUGUUUAAAUGUUUAGUUGGGCUUGGCGGUUACUUUAAUUUGGGUAUAACUGUAAACUUAUUAUUAUUGUUAUUAUCAUUGUUAUUGGUUUUUAUUGAUUUAUUGGUUUGUUUGUUGCUUGUAUAGGAUAUCUUGUUUCUUCAUGUUUGAUGUUUUGUUGUGGUUUAUAUGUUGCCCAGAGUGGCUGGGGAAACCCAGCCAGAUGGGUGGGAUAUAAAUUAAAUAUUAUUAUUAUUAUUAUUAUUAUUAUUAUUACAGGUUAUGCCCAAGCCAAAGAGGCCUCAUCAGUGUUAUAAUCUAUCUGAACCACUCUGAAACUGCUCUGAUCCAUUCUAUCCACCGUUUAUGGGCUGCUUCACAAUGUUGCCAUGCGCUUCUCUUCCUGAGAGAAGCGACCUCCAAUAGAAACAACAAUUAGAAGACUUCAGCUCAUUUGCAUUCAUAAACUUCACGGCUUGAAUGAGUGCGCUAGACUCCAAACCACAGCUUGCAGCACCUAUAUCCUACUACUGAGCAUAAUUGCAGACUGAAUAAAGGCAAACUAAAAUUCAUAUGGCAUGGAGGAG
RNAcentral lists this long non-coding RNA (8653 nucleotides) under Podarcis lilfordi (Lilford's wall lizard). Lineage: Eukaryota; Metazoa; Chordata; Lepidosauria; Squamata; Lacertidae. The record is from RNAcentral.